UACGUAGGGGGCAAGCGUUGUCCGGAAUCAUUGGGCGUAAAGAGCGUGUAGGCGGCUUGGUAAGUCCGCUGUGAAAGUCCAGGGCUCAACCCUGGAAUGCCGGUGGAAACUGUCAAGCUUGAGUCCGGAAGAGGCGAGUGGAAUUCCUGGUGUAGCGGUGAAAUGCGCAGAUAUCAGGAGGAACACCAAUGGCGAAGGCAGCUCGCUGGGACGGUACUGACGCUGAGACGCGAAAGCGUGGGGAGCAAACAGG
This 253-nucleotide ribosomal RNA is filed under the name uncultured bacterium. Its description in RNAcentral is "partial 16S ribosomal RNA". It matches the Rfam family "Bacterial small subunit ribosomal RNA", at positions 524 to 776 of the family's 1533-position model. The record is from RNAcentral.